ACACCAUUGGUUGAGCGCGACGAGGUUAGACAUGUGGUGAACAGCAGCUCAAUAUAAUACUUCAGUUGUUAAUUAAACGCCGAAGUUAAAGGGUCUCUGUGAGGAAAUAUUAGUGACACAGCGCCAUUCUGCGCAAUGCCGUCGCAAACGGUUGCGGAUAUUACAGCAGUAUCCUCACACAGGGUUGGAUAUUGAAGCUACCACCAUUAGCAAUAACCUUUACUUCAGUGAAGGGUGAUUUCCUACUAGCCUGUACCGAAUUGAGUUUGCAUUAAUACUAAAAAUAAUUGUUUAAAACGAACGGAAAUAUUUUUAAAAGUUUGAUGCAGUAGAACAAGCAUUUUUUAAGCAUGAAAUAUAAAACAGAAUCGUGGAAAAAAGUGGAUACUGAAAUGUGAGAACUACCGUAAAUGCCAUUGAGAGAAGUGAUUUGCAAAAUGAGCAGCUCGAAAGUAAAUUCUCAGAUCAGUGGUGCUAAAGUCAUAAAAUUGACAACGUUUAACCUACUUUACAGCUGAACAACAAAUAAGCAAAAAAGGAACAGGAUGACAAAAACAUCAAACGGCGGCGGGGUUGACUAUUUAUAAUUCAUCGUGAAGUCAUACAUUCUACCGCUGUUGGUGUGUGUGUGUGCUGCGCUGGUCCGAGGGCGUUGGAAAACCCGCCGGCAUUCGUAAAUGCGAAGAAAUUUCAAUGCAGCCUUUCAUCCUUAUUACUUGCUGUGCUGCUGUUUUAUGCCAUGCAAUAGCACAUUGUGCCGACUGUUAUGUUAAGUUUUCGUUUGGAGUUCACAUUUUCUGCACUCUUGGCUCAGCUGCUGGUUCUGAACCGAACAUGUGCGCUCGCUCAGCUCGAUUUUGUUCUGGCCAAAGUUAUGGCCACGGGUGGCUUUGUGCUUGUGAACAUGAACGUGGAACACUGGGGAACUAGCAUGUAUAUAUUCGUAGCAUUUAUAAAACUACUCACAGGCAUCUGUGCUGUUCAGUUUGUUUUUUCCUGUGCGCUGGGACAUUAGUCAGCAGUAUUAGUUCCACAAUAUCAAAUAUCACAAAUAUGUUUAUGUGUUUUUGGAUAAUAAUUUCAUAAAAAGGUGAAUUCAAUAAUGGUUUGUUCAAUAAUUUUCCUAUGAUUUGUAUAUCGCUGUUGAUGUCAAGUGAAUGCCUAAAUGGAUCAAGUUUGUGCAGAAAUAUUAUUUUAAUUUAUCCAAAUAUCCAACGUAUAUUACACAAAGUUAUCAUGACUAUAACAAAUGAAUCAACAUCAGCAAUCAGCAAAACUUGUAUUGAUAUUCUCACCGAAUUAGAAUGUGUGGUUGGUGAUUUUCUAUUUCUUUGAUAAAGUCAUUAAAAUUUUAAAAAGUUCGAAUUGGAAUCAGAAUUAAUGAUACGAAUAAACUUGGAAUAGUGAAUUUUUCAAAGGGUGACUACUUUCUCAAAAGCUCGGAGCUUAUAUUUUUGAUCGAAAUAGCGCAUAUAUACAACAACUAAUUGCUAAUUAUUAAAUCAAUCAAUAAGAUAAUAUGUUUACUAUAUUUUCAUUGUCCUACAGUGAAAAUUUAUGUAUAAAUAAUAAAGUAAUUAUAUUAUAUUCUUAAGAACCUUUCGCAUUUCGAAAUAAACUCAUUAUUUCUCGGCAUUCUCAUCUGUUAUAUUUUUGAUCGAAAUAGCGCAUAUAUACAACAACUAAUUGCUAAUUAUUAAAUCAAUCAAUAAGAUAAUAUGUUUACUAUAUUUUCAUUGUCCUACAGUGAAAAUUUAUGUAUAAAUAAUAAAGUAAUUAUAUUAUAUUCUUAAGAACCUUUCGCAUUUCGAAAUAAACUCAUGAUUUCUCGGCAUUCUCAUCUGUAGCUAUUGAGAAAAGGUAUCAAGCACUAGUGACUACAAUUCAUAAAACUCCUACUAUUUUCACCUAAGCUGUACGUAGUAGACUGACAACUAGGUGGUAACGGUAGGAAUAACUACUGCAUUUGUCUUAAAAACAACUCUUCUGUUCAGUUGUGAGCGAACUUAACCUAAUUGCCGGAAAGUCAUUUAAGGAGGAGGUUGAUUGAUGAUAAUAUUUUAAAUAAACACUCGCACACACAUUCAAGUUCUAACUAGACCUAAUUACUCAUUCUCCGUUGGUAACAGAGGCAGUGGGCCAGCCAGCGCACGAGGUGUGAACGAUCAAUAAUAUCAUAUCACAACUUGUGACUAUAAUUGUGCAUAUCCACAUACAUAUACGAUAUUUCUUCGACUGUGCGGCCUCUUUUUGUGUGUAGUUACUGCAUGAAUAUGCGUAAAGUAAAGUAAUUCCGACGGCCUUAGAGCACUAAGUUGCUUAUAGAUAGUAAUGUGAAAAACAAACAAAACUGUUACGAAGAGGCAACACCUUUUAAUCAACAAACAUAAUCAAAGAUAAAAAAUCAAAUGUACAUUAUAUUUUACUUGUAUUCGAUUUCGGCAUAUUUCUUUACGAGUAAUGACAUUUUCAAAGUUUAUCAACCGAACGUUCAGCCGAAUUUGUGUUUGUCUAAGACAUUAUGCAUACAUAUGUAUGUAUGUACAUAUAUGCGCUCAAUUUCAGUAUCUUAUCGGUAAACUCAUACGUCUUCGACGAAAAGACACCCAUCCAAUUUCACAGAUACGACGAUACAAAUUAGUUCGAUUUCCAUGCUUUAAAUCGUAAAAACCCUUUUCCAUUCAACAAUGCAACCUUCUCUGAUUUGUUUUAAAGUCGGAGGAAUUUGCGUUGAACUCUUGGACAAACAAUUUUAUCCAAAGUUUUCGACAUUCUAUUCAUUAUCUACAAAAGCCUUCCAUGAAUACAUGGCUGCACAUAGUUCUCAGUCGAUACUGGAUCGUGGACGGAUAGAGAACCGAUAAACCAGUGCGAGUUGCUUGUUGUGUGGACAGUAAAUAAAUGUCCCGGGUGAGGAAAGCUAAGGAUCACUCAUUGUUUUGUACUAUAUUUAAUAUUUACAAUAACAUUUCUAGUUUGUGAUCAGUAAAAUUCAUUUGAAUUAACAAGUUGUGUUAGUUCUUGCGGUGAUAUAUAAAUAUAUAUGUAUGUAAAUUUUCACAACAAUUAAAAACUUUCCGUGUGGUCAGAGUGGUGGUCAGUCCUCUCGAAGGAUUUGUUGCCGUGGGCAAAGCACCGAAAGAAGUCUUGCACGCAAUCUAUUGACGUUAAGGAAAAUAUGUAUGUGCUGCAGUGUGACAGUCAUAGCAGUGAUGAAACUUUUGCCACUUUUCAUCAUGUUCAACCUCAAUCUAGUUUUCAGGUUUUCAAAGGUUUUUUCAAUUGAUUUAACAAGUAUUAUAAUACAUACAUACAUAUAUAUUCACACAACUUAUUUCUAAUUACAGAUUUCAAACAAAUGGAAGAUUUGUGUUUAUAAUAUUUGGGAAAAUAGCAACCGGACUAUAAUAAUGUUUUUGGUCUAUAAAGACAAACUAACGGUUUGAAGUGGCAUCAUUCUGUUCUACAUCCACCCUGUAGAUCCGAAUUUGUUUUGAUUUUUUGGUGACAAAUUCGGUUCUAGAGAGGUUUGUGUGGUUCAAAAUACAACGAAAUGAAGUGUUGACUAUGUGAAAUCCAAUGAAAACUAUGUACAAAACACCAAAGUUAUAUACGCAUAAUAUGUAUAAAAAAUUGUGUAGCAGGAGCAAAAGAUGAAUUUUUUAAUUAAGAUAAAACACUCCCAUUAUAUAUAACAAAGGUUGCAAAUUGUUAGUGAAUAGUGUAUGUAUGUACACUGGGGAAGCGGAAAAUUUAACAUUAUUUGUGAUGUUCCGUGUUUGGUGUUCAGAGUUGUGAGAGAGAGAGAGUGUCUAGAUAAUAAGUAAUGCGUAACUAACAUUAAAUUAAAUAAAAUUAUAUUUUAUUGUUUAACAAGCAGGAACAUAUGCAAAUAAAUGUAUUGCUUUUAGGAAA
Zeugodacus cucurbitae (melon fly) is the source of this 3915-nucleotide long non-coding RNA. RefSeq lists it as uncharacterized. The transcript has 4 exons. The record is from RefSeq and is a predicted model, not a curated record. NCBI's taxonomy places the organism in Eukaryota, Metazoa, Arthropoda, Insecta, Diptera, Tephritidae.